UACGUAGGGACCAAGCGUUGUUCGGAUUUACUGGGCGUAAAGGGCGCGUAGGCGGCGUGUUAAGUCACUUGUGAAAUCUCUAAGCUUAACUUAGAACGGUCAAGUGAUACUGAUGUGCUAGAGUGCAGAAGGGGCAACCGGAAUUCUUGGUGUAGCGGUGAAAUGCGUAGAUAUCAGGAGGAACACCUGUGGUGUAGACAGCUUACUGGACCAUAACUGACGCUGAGGCACGAAAGCGUGGGUAGCAAACAGG
This 253-nucleotide ribosomal RNA is filed under the name uncultured bacterium. RNAcentral's name for it is "partial 16S ribosomal RNA". It matches the Rfam family "Bacterial small subunit ribosomal RNA", at positions 524 to 776 of the family's 1533-position model. The record is from RNAcentral.